This 448-nucleotide ribosomal RNA is filed under the name uncultured bacterium. Its description in RNAcentral is "bacterial SSU rRNA". It matches the Rfam family "Bacterial small subunit ribosomal RNA", at positions 30 to 524 of the family's 1533-position model. The record is from RNAcentral.
CGAACGCUGGCGGCAGGCUUAACACAUGCAAGUCGAACGCUCACUUCGGUGAGAGUGGCAGACGGGUGAGUAACGCGUGGGAAUAUACCUAUCAGUACGGAACAACAGUUGGAAACGACUGCUAAUACCGUAUACGCCCUUCGGGGGAAAGAUUCAUCGCUGAUAGAUUAGCCCGCGUUAGAUUAGCUAGAUGGUGGGGUAAUGGCCUACCAUGGCGACGAUCUAUAGCUGGUCUGAGAGGAUGAUCAGCCACAUUGGGACUGAGACACGGCCCAAACUCCUACGGGAGGCAGCAGUGGGGAAUAUUGGACAAUGGGCGCAAGCCUGAUCCAGCCAUGCCGCGUGUGUGAUGAAGGCCUUAGGGUUGUAAAGCACUUUCAACGGUGAAGAUAAUGACGGUAACCGUAGAAGAAGCCCCGGCUAACUUCGUGCCAGCAGCCGCGGUAAU